This 898-nucleotide ribosomal RNA is filed under the name Chaetomium globosum. RNAcentral's name for it is "LSU rRNA". It matches the Rfam family "Eukaryotic large subunit ribosomal RNA", at positions 34 to 965 of the family's 3401-position model. Lineage: Eukaryota; Fungi; Ascomycota; Sordariomycetes; Sordariales; Chaetomiaceae. The record is from RNAcentral.
CUAAGCAUAUCAAUAAGCGGAGGAAAAGAAACCAACAGGGAUUGCCCUAGUAACGGCGAGUGAAGCGGCAACAGCUCAAAUUUGAAAUCUGGCUUCGGCCCGAGUUGUAAUUUGCAGAGGAAGCUUUAGGCGCGGCACCUUCUGAGUCCCCUGGAACGGGGCGCCAUAGAGGGUGAGAGCCCCGUAUAGUUGGAUGCCUAGCCUGUGUAAAGCUCCUUCGACGAGUCGAGUAGUUUGGGAAUGCUGCUCAAAAUGGGAGGUAAAUUUCUUCUAAAGCUAAAUACCGGCCAGAGACCGAUAGCGCACAAGUAGAGUGAUCGAAAGAUGAAAAGCACUUUGAAAAGAGGGUUAAAUAGCACGUGAAAUUGUUGAAAGGGAAGCGCUUGUGACCAGACUUGCGCCGGGCGGAUCAUCCGGUGUUCUCACCGGUGCACUCCGCCCGGCUCAGGCCAGCAUCGGUUCUCGCGGGGGGAUAAAGGUCCUGGGAACGUAGCUCCUCCGGGAGUGUUAUAGCCCGGGGCGUAAUGCCCUCGCGGGGACCGAGGUUCGCGCAUCUGCAAGGAUGCUGGCGUAAUGGUCAUCAGCGACCCGUCUUGAAACACGGACCAAGGAGUCAAGGUUUUGCGCGAGUGUUUGGGUGUAAAACCCGCACGCGUAAUGAAAGUGAACGUAGGUGAGAGCUUCGGCGCAUCAUCGACCGAUCCUGAUGUUUUCGGAUGGAUUUGAGUAGGAGCGUUAAGCCUUGGACCCGAAAGAUGGUGAACUAUGCUUGGAUAGGGUGAAGCCAGAGGAAACUCUGGUGGAGGCUCGCAGCGGUUCUGACGUGCAAAUCGAUCGUCAAAUCUGAGCAUGGGGGCGAAAGACUAAUCGAACCAUCUAGUAGCUGGUUACCGCCGAA